Non-coding RNA from Sus scrofa (pig), 260 nucleotides. The record is from RefSeq and is a predicted model, not a curated record. NCBI's taxonomy places the organism in Eukaryota, Metazoa, Chordata, Mammalia, Artiodactyla, Suidae.
CAGAAUAUGCAGUUUAGGGUGUCGGUUACAUGGGGAGUUCACCUCUGAGAAGGUGGUUGGGUGAACUUGGAAUUAGAACACGGCAGUCGUCUGAUCCUGAGAGCAGAGGAACUGGCAGAUGACUCCCGCAGGCGAGGAAGCGGAGUUGGGAACGAGUCAGGACUCCAGUCCUGGUUCUUUUGAUUCCACCUAUGGUGACCUCUGAUCAAACACGAAGUUUUCCUCACACGGAGUUAAUUUAAAGAUCCGUAAAAUGAAAA